UUGGUCCUCUUUUUUCAUGCCACCUAAAUUUCACUCUCAAUUUCUUCUUUCACUUCCAUUCAUUUUCACAUUGACCACGGUUUCCCACUUCGCCAAUCCCUUUGAGUCUUUGCCCCUUACCUAUUACCCAUUAGGGCUUACUUCUUCUUCUUCCUUUCAUUUCCUUUUUCCUAGUCCUAAGAGAGAAGAUCUAGUUGGUACUCUUCUUCUUCUCACUGUUUAUUCCCACCUUUUUUUUUGUAUUUUUCUUUUUAUUUUUUGCUUUGCCUUUUUUUUUUUUUUUUCUUUUGAUUUCUGGGUUUAUGCUCUUUUUUCCUUGUUGGAGAGAAGAAUUUCUAGUUGGGUAUUGAUAGUUUUCUAUGUGGGAUUAGAUUUUUAGUGGGAUUUUGACCAAUUUCCUGAAGCUGGUUUUCUGGGUCUUCGUUUUUUUUUUGGGGGAGCAGCUACAUGGAGAUUCAGGUUUAUGGUUUGCUAAUGGUGGAGUUUGAGCUUGAGAUUUGAGGGUUUUUCUUUGGACCUGAUUUCUAUCUUGGGGGUUUUCACUUCGGCUGAGCAAAAGGAAAGGGGUAUGUCAUCUGCGCUUCUUGAAUUGUUUUGAUUUUGUUGCAUUCGUGGUAUUGUUACAUCGUAUGCUGAAGUGGUUUGACUUUAUUAAGUGUUUGGGAAAACUCAUUAUUUGGAUUUAGCAGAAGGGUUUUAAAUUGGGUCUGAGGUUAAAUUUUGAGAUUUGGGUUGCAGAGAAAGCGUGCUGGUCUUUGAAGUUGAAUUUUGAAGUUCUGGGUAUAGUUUUGAAGCUUAACAAUGGUUUGACUUUGUGUGACAUCGGAAAAAAGUGGUAUUUCGAGAUCAAAUUAAGCCUUUUAAAAUGGAUAACUCGAAGAAUAGGCAUAAUGAUCAUUUGGGUGUGAACAAAAUGGGAAAAAAUAUUAGAAAGAGUCCGCUGCAUCAACCCAACUUUAACAACAACAACAACAGUAACAACAACAACAACAACAACAAUGCUGCCAGGCAACAACCGCAGCCUCAGGUUUACAACAUAAGCAAGAAUGAUUUCCGUAACAUUGUCCAGCAGCUCACUGGUUCACCAUCACAAGAACCUUUGCCUAGACCCCCACAGAAUCCGCCUAAACCUCAGAGUAUGCGGUUGCAGAAGAUAAGGCCUCCCCCUUUAUCACCCAUCAACCGGCCGCUUAUCCCUCCUCCUGCCCCUGUUCCCGCUCCUGCUCCCGCUCAAGCCCCUCAUGCCCCGGCCCCUGUUCCAUACAACAAUAGCUUAGUUAGGCCUCCUCAUUUUGGACAACCACCACCGCAGAUGAUGCAACCAUUGCCAUCGGGAGAUUCUGGUUGGGCUAAUACAGCUGAAUCUCCCAUUACAGCUUAUAUGCGAUACCUUCAAAGCUCAAUGCUGGAUCUCACUCCAAGGGGAUAUACAGGUCAACAACCCUCACCACAGCCGCAGCCACAGGUUCCAGGGCACAUUCCAGCUCAACCACUAUCUUCUGGUUUACUUCCUAACCCCACAAUGCCUCCUGUUCCUCCUCCAAGAAUGCCUGGUCCUCCACAAGUGGGUGGCCCUGCCCUUUUCCCGUCACCAACUUCGCAGUUUCUACUGCCAUCGCCAACUGGUUACUUGAAUUUGUUGUCGCCACGGUCCCCUUAUCCGCUACUUUCGCCUGGGAUUCAGUUUCCUCCACCACUGACUCCUAAUUUUGCCUUUUCACCCAUGGCCCAAUCAGGGAUUUUAGGUCCAGGGCCUCAGCCCCCACCUUCUCCUGGUCUUGUAUUUCCUUUAUCCCCUUCAGGGUUUUACCCCAUCUCAAGUCCAAGAUGGAGGGACCAAUAGUUGCUGCCAUAGUUUUAAUGUUUGAGAGCUCGAUGCCGACUCAGGAGCUCUUUCUGUAUGUGGAAUAAUCUUCUUCUCCUUGUUUUGAAUUACUGAUUCUGUACUUGGACAAGUUUCACAUUAGGCGAUAUAGUGAAGAUCAGACAACUCAUCUGGACAAUUGGACAGAAGCUGUAAGAUUAAAGGAGGUAGGAUUACAGACAUCAAAUAUGUAGGCUGUUUAUUAUAAAAUUCUUGUACUUUUACAAUGUUUUGGUUUAGAUCUUAGUCUGAAGUUAUUUUAUUCUUCAUGUAAUUUGCAUGUGAAAGAAAUUCUAAUAGUUAGUUGGUUUCUCUUUUUUGGACCUUAUUUUAUGCAAUGAACCAAUUAUUUUGUUUGCCA
This is an RNA transcript of Ziziphus jujuba (common jujube), 2225 nucleotides long. It is a transcript of the gene named protein HAIKU1, with no coding region annotated. The transcript is spliced from 2 exons. The record is from RefSeq and is a predicted model, not a curated record. NCBI's taxonomy places the organism in Eukaryota, Viridiplantae, Streptophyta, Magnoliopsida, Rosales, Rhamnaceae.